UCCAAAACUACGGAUAGUCACGCGUGAUGUAAAACAUGGCGUCGCCCUGGCGAACAGAUUGUGGUGGACGUCUUGGAAGUUGAUAUGGUGUAUGCGUCUUGACUUCUAGUUGAAAAGAGUAUAGAAGAAUGUCUUCUUGAAGAUACCAAGAUUUGCGAUUUUGUAUCUCCCUUGUAAUUUGAAAGCAUCUCGUGUAUAAUCCAGUUACAGAGGCAGCUAGUUUACAUCAGUGAUUGAGACAAGCUGCUACCAGGUACAGUGAGGCUGAUGUUCCAAGGGAGACAACUGAACAUCAGGCCUCAUGUUUAGCCCUCUAGGCGAAUGUCUCAUCCACAUCAUGGGAUGGUUCUGUCAGUUCCCUGGAAACUUCUGUCUGUACUUCAGAUCGUAUCGACUGUUCAGGACUAUCAUUUUUGUUGGCUUGUUACUAUUUUACUGUGAGUUUCUGCACUACUACGUGGUGUUGUUCCAGUGCACCUGGCCUCAGGUGAACAAUGAAAUGUUUGACAGGACACUUCCUCCAAAGUUCCACCCUCUACGAGUUAUGGUGAUAGCAGACACUCAUGUGAUGGGACCACAUGCACACUGGUUUGACAGGUUGAGAAGAGAAUGGCAAAUGGAACAAGCAUUUCAAACCAGUAUGUUGAUUCACAGUCCAGAUGUGGUUUUUGUUCUAGGUGACCUGCUGGAUGAAGGAAAGUGGUGUUCAGACUCAGAGUUCCAAAGACAUGUCAAGAGAUUCCAAAAAAUGUUUUCCACAAACCAAAAUACAGACAUGUAUGUUCUGGUUGGGAAUCACGACAUUGGAUUUCAUUAUGCGAUGACGCCACACAAGGAAAGAAGAUUUGAAAAAGCAUUUAAUGCACCCUCUGUGAAGAUGUUGCACAUCAGAGACAAUAUUUUUGUACUAGUCAACAGCAUGACUCUGGAAGGAGAUGGGUGCUCUCUGUGCCAGGAUGCUGUCUCCCAAUUGCAACAAGUUUCUCAACAGCUUAGAUGUGCCCAGGAUCCAUUAAAGUCUUCCAGCAGCCACAAUGUGUGUCACCAGUGGGAGCAGUUCACCUACACCAAGCCUAUUUUACUGCAGCACUACCCCAUGUUCCGUACUUCUGACAUAGACUGUGAUACGUCUGAUGCAGCUCCUCUUGAGGAGAAGGGUACACCAUUCAAACCCAAGUGGGACUGUUUGUCUCAGGAUGCUACUGAACAGAUGUUCAGCCUGCUUGACCCACGGCUAGUUAUCAGUGCCCACACCCACCAUGGCUGUUACCGCGUCCACAAGGGCCGUGUCCCAGAGUGGACAAUACCCUCCUUCAAUUGGAGGAAUAAAAACAACCCAUCAUUUCUUCUAGCAACUAUCAGCAAUGACAAGUAUGAGGUGAAGCGAUGCCACAUGCCACGGGAAACUACUGUUAUAACGUUAUACAUCAUCUGGGGCCUCUUCAUAUUACUUACAUUGCCCUUCCCGCGGAGGGUCAUUAAAUUCAAUACUGACAAGGCUCACUGACAAUGACUGCAACUCACUAGGUGCCUGCUAUGUACAUGCUGUUGCUGUUGUCAAGCAUUACUGACAAUGACUGUAACUCGCAAGGUGCCAGCUUUGUACAUGCUGUUUAUGUCAAGCAGCCUGCUGUGUACAUGCUGUUGCUGUUGUCAAGCAUCACUGACAAUGACUGUAAGCCACUAGGUGCCUGCUUUUACAUGCUGUUGAG
RNAcentral lists this unclassified non-coding RNA (1712 nucleotides) under Haliotis rubra (blacklip abalone). Its description in RNAcentral is "metallophosphoesterase 1-like, transcript variant X1". Lineage: Eukaryota; Metazoa; Mollusca; Gastropoda; Lepetellida; Haliotidae. The record is from RNAcentral.